UUAGAAACUUGUCAAGGGAGAAAGACGAAGUAGAUGGUUCUAGUAUUUUCAUGUAUGGUGAAGCUUGGGACUUUGGUGAAGUGGCAAGCAAUGGUCGUGGCAUAAAUGCAUCACAGUUCAAUCUAGCGGGAAGUGGAAUUGGAAGCUUUAAUGAUCGAAUUCGGGAUGCAUUGCUUGGUGGAUCUCCAUUUGGUCAUCCUCUUCAACAAGGAUUUCUCACAGGAUUAUCUUUGCAAGUAAUG
Molecule: long non-coding RNA, 242 nt
Organism: Cynara cardunculus var. scolymus (artichoke)
Lineage: Eukaryota; Viridiplantae; Streptophyta; Magnoliopsida; Asterales; Asteraceae
Exons: 3
Source: RefSeq, a predicted model, not a curated record